UACGUAGGGGGCUAGCGUUGUCCGGAAUCAUUGGGCGUAAAGAGCGCGUAGGCGGCCAGAUAAGUCCGGUGUGAAAGUCAAAGGCUCAACCUUUGAAUGCCGCUGGAAACUGUCUGGCUAGAGUCCGGGAGGGGCGAGUGGAAUUCCUGGUGUAGCGGUGAAAUGCGCAGAUAUCAGGAAGAACACCCGUGGCGAAGGCGGCUCUCUGGAACGCAGCUGACGCUGAGACGCGAAAGCGUGGGGAGCAAACAGG
This 253-nucleotide ribosomal RNA is filed under the name uncultured bacterium. Its description in RNAcentral is "partial 16S ribosomal RNA". It matches the Rfam family "Bacterial small subunit ribosomal RNA", at positions 524 to 776 of the family's 1533-position model. The record is from RNAcentral.